RNAcentral lists this transfer RNA (73 nucleotides) under Salomonia cantoniensis. Its description in RNAcentral is "tRNA-Glu". It matches the Rfam family "tRNA". From Rfam's summary of the family: Transfer RNA (tRNA) molecules are approximately 80 nucleotides in length. Their secondary structure includes four short double-helical elements and three loops (D, anti-codon, and T loops). Further hydrogen bonds mediate the characteristic L-shaped molecular structure. tRNAs have two regions of fundamental functional importance: the anti-codon, which is responsible for specific mRNA codon recognition, and the 3' end, to which the tRNAs corresponding amino acid is attached (by aminoacyl-tRNA synthetases). tRNAs cope with the degeneracy of the genetic code in two manners: having more than one tRNA (with a specific anti-codon) for a particular amino acid; and 'wobble' base-pairing, i.e. permitting non-standard base-pairing at the 3rd anti-codon position. The record is from RNAcentral. Lineage: Eukaryota; Viridiplantae; Streptophyta; Magnoliopsida; Fabales; Polygalaceae.
GCCCCCAUCGUCUAGGGGUUCAGGACAUCUCUCUUUCAAGGAGGAAGCGGGGAUUCGACUUCCCCUGGGGGUA